This is a long non-coding RNA of Tyto alba (common barn owl), 716 nucleotides long. RefSeq lists it as uncharacterized. Lineage: Eukaryota; Metazoa; Chordata; Aves; Strigiformes; Tytonidae. The record is from RefSeq and is a predicted model, not a curated record. The transcript is spliced from 2 exons.
GACGGGCUGGGCCGAGACGGGCCGGGCCGGGCCGGGCCGGGCUGGGCUGCGCUGCGCUGCGCUGCGGGACGAAGAGGCGCUGGGUUCGGCUGUGGUGGAGGGAGCUGAUGUCGCCGGAGCGGAGGCGCCAGCGCGGCCCGAGCGCCGGUUGACGCGCAGCUCAGCAGGGAGCCGCCAGGAAAAGAGGAAUGAAGACACACAGAAGAUGACAAUGAUGUUUUACACAGUUCCAUAAAGGACUCUGACCUGGCCUGAUGACAGUGAUUUUUUUUGCAUCUAACUUCUGAUUAUUGUAGUAAAAUGCCCCUUUUUUUCCUUUAAUUUUCCCAUAUUGCAGCGUAGGUCUGUCAUGUAUUUCAGUGAUGUUGUGACAGAAAAAGCCCUCUUCUAAAAAUUCUCCUCUCUUCUCACUAGAGGGCUCUCCCAAAAUACUGACAGGGGACAGUUCCACUUACAGAGACACUUCUACUCUAGAUACAGGCAUUUAUAGAAACGUUUUGGGCAUGGUAAUGGCUAGCCUGCAAUGAAAUUAAAUCUCAUCUUUGUCAGGUUUUGCAAAAAGAAUUGGAUAUUGGUGUUUGCUUAUUUUUUUAAUACAGGCAUAUAUUUGCCAGGGGGGUUACUGAAAAAUAACCUGUGCACAUUCUGAGUGAAGCUGGCAGAUUUUUAGAUGUAUAAAUCUUGUAAAUGUAAGAAUAAACACAAUUUUUACACAA